RNAcentral lists this long non-coding RNA (1085 nucleotides) under Sorghum bicolor (sorghum). Its description in RNAcentral is "long non-coding RNA (SBIC_LNC010078)". The record is from RNAcentral. Lineage: Eukaryota; Viridiplantae; Streptophyta; Magnoliopsida; Poales; Poaceae.
GUCUUCCUUGAUCCUUGAAUUCUGUGGAGCUCAAAUAGACAACAAAGCUUUGUGGAACUGGUUAAGUGUUAGCAUAAAAUCUCUUAGCCUUUAUCAUGUUGAGCUUCCUCUAAUAAAUAUUACUCUCUUUAGUAGGAUCAUAAAUUUAUUUUUAUAUUUUCAUUUUUACAGGACAAGAAUAUAUUUAUUUUAUUUUUACGCCACCACAGUGAAUGGGUUUUAUGCCACGAGCAUACUCACAUGGGGCUUACUGUUUUUAACAUUUUUAUUUUCUUUUCAAGAUAGCAUGAUUAACUAACAACCUAUUUAAGGAAAGUAAAUAAUUUAAGAAAAAAGAGAAUGCAGAAAGGAUAAAUAUGGAUAACUACCGAUUUUACCUUUCGGCGAGGGUUCAAUGUUUUAAGUCUUCUGAACAAGACUUCUCAUCGUGUUCAUUCUUUAGGUGUGUCAUUUGAGUUCGUGUGGACCUUGACAUUUGCACCUCUUGAUACGGUGUAACCCAUGUUUUUCGUUUGCCCAGCAGUUCGAAGUGCGGCAUUGGCAGCAUCCUCUUCAGUGUGUUUGUGCUCGUAGAUCUAGGUCCUUCACUUGGUAGAGUCUGGGAGUUGGAAAACUCCUCCAUAUUUUGCUGGAAGUGUAUCCUGCUCAUAGAGACAAGGCAAAGAUCAAAUGCAUGGGCCCUGUUGGUGGAAAACACCAACAGAACCAAAAGUGUAUUUGUUCUUCUCUAACCUUAAGCAUAGUGAGCAAGACAAAGUUGAUGGAUGAUAAGAUCAUGAGUGUAGCAUUUAAAACAUUUGUCAGAUCUGAUCACUCAACCUUAUGGAAAGAUAAUCUAUCUAAGUAAAUGUUUUUUUCUUUACAUGACUAUCAUUUUCCAAAGAUUGGAUGUGCAACAUUUUAGCUCAUAUGGUUAAGAGUGUGGGAUCAAGAAGGUAGUACUGGAAACAAAGAUUAAAGGACUAAACAUGUUGAAUCAAUUGGGUUGGUUAAUUUAGAGUUAUAAAUCAUACAUGUUUGUCUUUUUAUCCAUGUGCAUGCCAGAAUCAAGGAGAAGCUUAUAACAGUGAGAGUCACAUACCUUA